Molecule: ribosomal RNA, 487 nt
Filed under: uncultured Cortinarius
Lineage: Eukaryota; Fungi; Basidiomycota; Agaricomycetes; Agaricales; Cortinariaceae
Description: eukaryotic LSU rRNA
Rfam family: 5.8S ribosomal RNA (bases 99-252)
Source: RNAcentral
UAUCUCCACCUGUGCACUUUUUGUAGGCCUUUCAGGKCUAUGUUGCUUCAUUUACCCCAAUGUAUGUCAAUAGAAUGUUGUGCCUAUUUAAUAUAUACAACUUUCAGCAACGGAUCUCUUGGCUCUCGCAUCGAUGAAGAACGCAGCGAAAUGCGAUAAGUAAUGUGAAUUGCAGAAUUCAGUGAAUCAUCGAAUCUUUGAACGCACCUUGCGCUCCUUGGUAUUCCGAGGAGCAUGCCUGUUUGAGUGUCAUUAAUAUAUAUAUCAACCUUCUCUUUUUGAGUGGUUUGGAUGUGGGGGUUUGCUGGCCUUGUAAAGGGUUCAGCUCCCCUGAAAUGCAUUAGCAGAACAACCCUGUUCAUUGGUGUGAUAACUAUCUACGCUAUUGAAUGUAAGGGGCAGUUCAGCUUUCUAACAGUCCUCGGACAAUUCAUCAUUAAUGUGACCUCAAAUCAGGUAGGACUACCCGCUGAACUUAAGCAUAUCA